GGACACUCAUGAAGACAUGGGUAGAUGGCUGAUAAUGGCUACACUCAUCGUGGCUGUCAAGAGGGAACUGGGAAAACCCCACAAGAUGAACAUGUGUCCACGGAGGAGAGGCUUCACUUGAACUCCACACGUGAUGUUCCCCAGCAGGAUUGGGCCGAGUGGCUCUGGACACUAAAGGGAUUAUUUUAUUGAUCUGGAGAAAUGGCUCUGAGGCCUUCAGUGUAAAACAAGUGUAAGAGAAGCACAGACGGUGUGACGUGCCCAGACAGCCAGCAGGCUUCCUGUGCCCUCCACCCCCGUGCACACAUGUCCAUGUUUCUCUGACCUUAAAGAGAGGAGUGGCACCAUCCAGGCCAUCUGGCCUCGUGGCUUGCCUGUGGGUGAGAACAGAAAGGAGACUCGAGGGUCAGAAACAUGAUUUAAAGGUCUAUUGAAUUUCUCUCUCUUCAUCUCUGAAUUAUUUUCUUUUUCCAAGCACAUAUAUUACUUUUUUAAAAUAACGAAAUAAAAUUGCCAGGAGGCCACUGCACAAAAAA
RNAcentral lists this long non-coding RNA (536 nucleotides) under Marmota monax (woodchuck). The record is from RNAcentral. Lineage: Eukaryota; Metazoa; Chordata; Mammalia; Rodentia; Sciuridae.